CGCUUUCUAUUUUUCUUUGUUGUUUUUAGUUAGUUUGUUUAUUUUUAUUGCUUUUUAGUUGUUUACUUUAUUUCAUUUUGCUUUUAGUUUGAGUGUUUUAGACAAUGCAUGAGUGUGACGAGUCACCAUUAUAGUGUAUCUUUAGUACAGUCUAAUCUCCCCAUUCCUUUAGCCCUACCAAAAAAAAUUUUGCAAAAGAAAACGGUGUUAUUCUGAAAGUUUUUAGGUUUUAAAGACGGGUUUGAGUAAGGAUGCGGUGACUUGGGAGAACUUUU
This 275-nucleotide long non-coding RNA is filed under the name Lathyrus oleraceus (garden pea). RNAcentral describes it as "Pisum sativum (pea) long non-coding RNA (PSAT_LNC005710)". The record is from RNAcentral. Lineage: Eukaryota; Viridiplantae; Streptophyta; Magnoliopsida; Fabales; Fabaceae.